RNAcentral lists this ribosomal RNA (427 nucleotides) under uncultured bacterium. RNAcentral's name for it is "bacterial SSU rRNA". It matches the Rfam family "Bacterial small subunit ribosomal RNA", at positions 357 to 776 of the family's 1533-position model. The record is from RNAcentral.
GGGAAUCUUCCACAAUGGGCGCAAGCCUGAUGGAGCAACACCGCGUGAGUGAAGAAGGGUUUCGGCUCGUAAAGCUCUGUUGUUGGAGAAGAACGUGCGUGAGAGUAACUGUUCACGCAGUGACGGUAUCCAACCAGAAAGUCACGGCUAACUACGUGCCAGCAGCCGCGGUAAUACGUAGGUGGCAAGCGUUAUCCGGAUUUAUUGGGCGUAAAGCGAGCGCAGGCGGUUACUUAGGUCUGAUGUGAAAGCCUUCGGCUUAACCGAAGAAGUGCAUCGGAAACCGGGCGACUUGAGUGCAGAAGAGGACAGUGGAACUCCAUGUGUAGCGGUGGAAUGCGUAGAUAUAUGGAGGAACACCAGUGGCGAAGGCGGCCUGCUGGACUGUAACUGACGUUGAGUCUCGAAGGCGUGGGGAGCAAACAGG